UCCUUCCGAUCCUGUUCACUGUAGUGUUGUGCAUGAUGUGCAUCUAAUUUCCAUUGGACAAGUAGACUUUUAACUUGUAGGGUGCAAGGCUUUGGGUCAGUUUUAUUUGAACUUCUACACUGACACCGUUCUGUAAUAAUCUGCGGAUUAACAUGUCAUGAUAAUCGCGGUCAAUAUCGAAAGUCUGUGUGUUGAAACAACCUGGAGUAAUCUAGAGUUUAUGGAUCUUUUCUAUGAUUGUAGGACUCCAAAUGCCAGUGUCUGGACUUUCCUCACGCAAUGAACUGCACUGGACAGGUCAUUGAACACGGACUACGCAAACUAAACUUGGUUUGCGAUGUUUCUGACACAGGGACAUACAAAAUAUGUCGAAUCCUUGAAAGACUACGGAAACUAGAAAACACCGACCAAGCACUGUGUGGGAGCCUGUCUCCGAACCACAUUUUGAAUUACAUCAGAAGAGUGUACCAAAGAUCUAACAGUAUUGAAACUGCAAUGAGGAAAACUCAAGGGUAAUCAGAAAUCAGGAAAAAUCGAAUUAUUUACUACUGAAACUUUAUUUCUUUCUUUAUUUAAUUAUGUAGGCGUAGAUAAGCAUUUGGGUUAACAGCCAACGUUUCACAGUGGUACAACUACUUAAGGAGGUCAUUUCCUAGUUCUAGACCAUGUUUGUGAUUUCCAGUCAGUCCAUAUGUACAGUAUUAUGUGUUCAAUCAGGAAGCAAACCUUUAUAUAUAUAUAUAUAUAUAUUCAUUUUGCUCUGUGUUCAGGAGGCUGUGAAUUUCAGUAUUUGUUCUCGUUUGAAAUUAGAGCAGACAUUACGAUAUAAUAUUAUACGCACACAUAUUUCUGUUACAAAUCUAAUCAUUAUAAUAUUUUUGAUACCUUAUUAUCUUAUUGAUUGUAUUGAUUGCAUGAUCAUUGCUGUAUUUUGUAUUACGUAUUAAAUUGUUUUCUUAAAACUUUACCCAACCAAUCAUGUUUCUGUUAUGUGGUUAAAAACAAAUUAGUCAUAAUCAGUCACUGGUCUGUAAUUGUUUCUUCACAUUUAUGACAGCGAG
Molecule: long non-coding RNA, 1061 nt
Organism: Ictalurus punctatus (channel catfish)
Lineage: Eukaryota; Metazoa; Chordata; Actinopteri; Siluriformes; Ictaluridae
Exons: 3
Source: RefSeq, a predicted model, not a curated record